AUGGAUGGGUGGAUGGAUGCCACUUCAGCUUCAGAUUUAUCACAAUAUUUGUCCAAUUUGGAACACAAUAGCAGGAGGACGCAAGAGUCGAUUCUCUACCGAGCCGAAUUGAAUCCGACUCUCUGAACUCUCUUUUUUGUUUCCUGGUCACUUUCGGUUAUAUUUAACAUUAACGCAGUACAUUUUAAGAUGCAGCGUUAGAAAUCUGACACAUGAAUAUCUUUGAGGAAUACAAGCUGUCAGUUUUUUGUGGGGACCCUGAAUGGGGCCAAUCAGCAACAGUAAGGACCUCCCCUUUUAUUUUAGGUUUUGAUUUUGUGUUUUAUAUUAAAGCAUAGUAGUUUAUAUUAGAGAAUAUAAUCUAUAAUAUAAUAUUAGCAUGGAGGAAUGAUAAAGUGUAACACACAUACACUCACACACACUCAAGGUGUCCUUGUAAAGAACACUCACUGUGUCCAUUCAGGUGUGUGUGAGUGCAGCGUGGGUCACGGUGGAGUGUGAGAACCUGAGAUAGAGAUCGCUCCUGCAGCGACUGACCGGUGAAAAAUGCGGCUGGGGUGGAGAGGUGCGUCGGAUCUGUUCUCCCUCUCUCAAUGCCAGCGCGAGGACACAGAAGGACAUUCAGAGUCCUUUCACUCGGCCGUGGCAUCUUCUAACACCUGCACUGCUGCGCUUUUGUCCCUGGCUCGCUGUGUGUGCUCGGCCCUACAUUAAGGCCACUAUGCAGGAAGGGAACUGGCUUUGUGUGUCUGAAUAGUGGACGUGAAUGUGGACAUGGUGCAGGAUCAGGCUGGUGUGGGUCUUUUCCCCAGGGAGUAAUCGGCUCUGUUGUCCAGCCCGGCAGCAGACAGAGACAUCGCUGCCUCGUUCUUUCAGCAUGUGAGAAGAUCUCUUUCUCCUCGCACCGUAUGAAAGACUCUCUUUCUUCACCAGCUAAAAAUCCAGCAGGAAGUGGGCCGCUGGAGCAACGCUUGGCUGGAGGACACUAAUCUCUCUGAUGAGACGCAGCCACGAGGAUAACAAAUCACCUCUGAGUGAAAUGUAAAAAGCCCGGGCAAAAUGGCAGGAAUCUCAUGUUGCGAGAGUCGGAGCCGUGAUUAUGUUACACGAUACGUAUCACAUAAUGUAGUGCUGAGCUAGUGAUACACUCCAAAGCCUUCUUCAGUGUGUUCCCCUGGGAGAACCAGGGAAAGAGCUACAGUAUAGAGAGCCGAAGCAGGUAUUACACACUGAUCUAUAGCGUAGAAGUCGUGAAUACAGACGUUGAUUAGUUAACACACAAGGUUCCGUGUUGCUCACACGAUACUCCAGUUAUAAUAUAAUAAUAACCUAAUACUUUAUUAAUAAUGAAUGAAUACAUGUCGUCAUUCUCAGGAAAUAUUAACUAUAAAUAAUGUUUUAUCUCUCACUCAACCGGCUAUAAAUGCUUUAUUAUUCACACUGACAUUCUCUAUUUACUCUCUAUUAUCUAUUCCUGCUUUUUUUUUUUUUUUUUUUACAAAAACCUAUGAAUAAUUAUUAGCUGUGAAUUAAUACUCGAGCAGCAGAAAGCAGCUAGUCGUUCUUUUGGCAUGUGGGAAGAUCGUUUCGAGAAAUUAUACAACUGAAAUACUGUUCUUUUUAUUUUCACUUUUAACAAUCAAACU
Long non-coding RNA from Tachysurus fulvidraco (yellow catfish), 1646 nucleotides. RefSeq lists it as uncharacterized. The transcript is spliced from 3 exons. The record is from RefSeq and is a predicted model, not a curated record. Lineage: Eukaryota; Metazoa; Chordata; Actinopteri; Siluriformes; Bagridae.